CAGAAGUCUUCUGGUGCAGGGCAGAGAAAGACCUACUUCAUUUCAGAUUCUUCCAAAGAAGGUUCUCUUUUCAGCAAUGAGUCCAACAAACCUCAGCCCUGUCCCUCUGAAAGGAAGAGAAGAGACUGAAGAACUAUAAGAACACAGACAAGGACAACAGUCUGAUUACAUACAGAGAAAAGUUCUUUCUGACUCAAGCAGGAAGCUGGCAUUUGGCAAACGACUUUGGAGGGAGGAAGAAGGAAGAAUCUGGAAGUGAGAGAAACAAAGAAAAAGACGAAAAG
Molecule: long non-coding RNA, 284 nt
Filed under: Capra hircus (goat)
Lineage: Eukaryota; Metazoa; Chordata; Mammalia; Artiodactyla; Bovidae
Description: lncRNA (ENSCHIG00000000653.1)
Source: RNAcentral